GUCUCUGUAGCGCAAUGGAUAGCUUGAUGGACUUCUAAUCCAUAGGUGGUGGGUUCAAAUCCACCUGGGAUG
Molecule: non-coding RNA, 72 nt
Organism: Trichonephila inaurata madagascariensis
Lineage: Eukaryota; Metazoa; Arthropoda; Arachnida; Araneae; Nephilidae
Source: the annotation of a GenBank genome assembly